This 480-nucleotide ribosomal RNA is filed under the name uncultured bacterium. Its description in RNAcentral is "bacterial SSU rRNA". It matches the Rfam family "Bacterial small subunit ribosomal RNA", at positions 501 to 982 of the family's 1533-position model. The record is from RNAcentral.
CUACGUGCCAGCAGCCGCGGUAAUACGGAGGGUGCGAGCGUUAAUCGGAAUAACUGGGCGUAAAGGGCACGCAGGCGGUGACUUAAGUGAGGUGUGAAAGCCCCGGGCUUAACCUGGGAAUUGCAUUUCAUACUGGGUCGCUAGAGUACUUUAGGGAGGGGUAGAAUUCCACGUGUAGCGGUGAAAUGCGUAGAGAUGUGGAGGAAUACCGAAGGCGAAGGCAGCCCCUUGGGAAUGUACUGACGCUCAUGUGCGAAAGCGUGGGGAGCAAACAGGAUUAGAUACCCUGGUAGUCCACGCUGUAAACGCUGUCGAUUUGGGGAUUGUGCUUUGAGCUUGGUGCCCGUAGCUAACGUGAUAAAUCGACCGCCUGGGGAGUACGGCCGCAAGGUUAAAACUCAAAUGAAUUGACGGGGGCCCGCACAAGCGGUGGAGCAUGUGGUUUAAUUCGAUGCAACGCGAAGAACCUUACCUACUCUU